ACGGUUUAUGAACAGAAAAUCGUCCUAAAAAAAUCUACGACGAUUAACCUACAAAAUUAAACUUACGCCCCGACCGCCGCCCGCGGGUCGCCCGCUCCCUCGCGCCCCUGUUGCUCCCUCCUCGAUCCCGAUCUGGAUCGAGGGGACGAGGAGCUCCUGCCUCCCCGACGGCCGACCUCCUCCUCGUCCUCCUCGCCCCGCCGCUGCGUUCGGCGCCGCCACGGCCUCUGGAGCCAGGGAAGCCAUGGCCUGAGCUCGUCCUCGAGGUCCCCGCCGCCGUCUCCUGUAGCUUCUGCCCCGCCGCCUCACCGCCCGAGCUCGCCGUCGCACCAACCUCGGCGCCGCGCCGCCGCCGGCUCUGGUCGCCUCCACCUCCGCGCCGUGAGGAACCCGCCACGCGCGUCAAGGCGAGGCGCCUCCUGGGCUCCGUCCGUUUCCAGAGCGAGCGCCCGCGAAUACCUAGCUAGCCGCCGCCGUCGUGACCGUUCCAGCCACCGCCAAGGUGAGAAGGAUCGUCGGACAUGAGCGGAGUCUCCUACUCCAUAAGGUCUCCUCGUUGUCUUCAUUUCUUGCCCACGGCCUCGGAGAGCAAGGUCAUUUUGGCCAAUCGCGCGAACCGCAUGUUACGCUUCGACACCAUCGACGGUUGCAGCUACAUUGAUACAAUGCCUAGCCUCCACGGGUACAAGCACUCGCCGCUGGCCAUCUCUGUCCCUCCGACGGACUUGCACCUCCUUGGACGGCGAUGACACCGGCAACCUCUACAGCAUUGACGCCCACCUGCAAGGUCACCCCCCGGUCCUUCCCCGACAUCAUCAGCGAGUACCUCGGGGCAGAGUCCGCGCUACCGUACCUGAGCCCCUACAUGUGUGGCGAGAACCUGCUCGUCGGCGCCAACUUCGUAUCCGCCGGCAUCGGCAUCCUCAACGACACAGGCGUGCAAUUCGCAAGCUCCACGCGCGCGCACGCACACAUGCUCGAAUCAGGUAUACGUAUCUACAAUAAUGCAACGGAGAUGACAAUAAUGUUGUACGUGUACGUGUGCGUGUGCAGGUGAACAUCAUCAGGAUCGCGCAGCAGUUGCAAAACUUCCAAGACUACCAGCGGAGGCUGGCGGCGUACAUCGGCGAGGACGCGGCGAGGGAGCGCAUGAGCCAGUCGCUGGUGCUCAUCACGCUCGGCGGCAACGACUUCGUCAACAACUACUUCCUGGUGCCCUUCUCCGCUAGGUCCCAGCAGUUCGAGAUCCACGACUACGUCCCCUUCAUCAUCUCCGAGUACAAGAAAGUCCUCGCGAUGAUGUAAUCAGCUAGAGAAGGAUAGGAGCUUGCACAGAGUUUUUAGUAGAAGACGGCGUAAAUUGUGGUAUUCUCCGCAAUCUGGAAGUUCUUCAGAUCCAAAUCCUACUUCAGAAAGUGUAUAUGAAGCAAAGGUCUGCACCUACAUGUUAUCAGAAGUCAGGUCUUAGACAAGGUGUUUUCGGCAAGAAUCUUUUUACCAACAAGGAGGAUGAAGACGGGGAUUAACCCAAGGCAGCGGGGAAUACUACUUCAGUGAUGAGGAUCUUUCGAUGGAUGUGUAUUCACUGAUAUUAUGCUAUAGGUUAUCUCUCUUUUGGGUAUCUUCCUUUCUUUAGUAACUCAAAUUUCCAGUUGGCAACUCAAUUUCCCAUGGCUUGGAUGCGGAGGGGUCGUGGCAUGUCACAUAGGUGUGCUCAGGUGAUGCUACGGCAAAGGGCGGCGGCUCGGCUGAAGAGGGUUUGUUCGGCAGUGAUGUGGCAUGCUCGGGCCCAUGUGCGGAUGCGGUGGAGGGUGACACCGUGGCUACGACAGAGGACGACGCUGGGCACAUGGGUUGGGCCAGGGCGUUGCUGCAGACUCGGUAUCGAGCGUGGCUGGAUGCUCGGCUGGGUUACUGGCCUCCGCAUCGCCAGCGUGCUUGUCCUCCGGUGUGGCUGCACAGUCAGGCCAGGGCAUGGUUGGGUCCUUGGCCUCGGGUACAUGAGCUUAUCCAGAAGGGCUGAUAUGGAGGACAUGUCGUGUUGCCAUUUCCAUCUGCGAACAGGCUCCCAACUUAAUAAAUUGGAAUGCUCUAUUGAUUAAUGGAGAUAAUUUGCUCAUGCUACUCUCUAAAAAUAUUACCAAUGUUGUUUACUGCAACCUGGAGAUAUAAGUUACAACUUCUGAUUAUUUGAUUAUUGCAAUGUUGUUUACUGCAACCUGGAGAUACCAAUGUUGUUCACUGCAACCUGGAGAUACCAAUGUUGUUCACUAAGUUGGGAUGUUAGCAGCUUAUCUGUUAUUCGCAUAACAGAUCAACCAGAUGACAAACAAACCUUUGUAAUCAGAGCCAACCAGUGAUUUCUCCCGAUCUGGAUCCCCACCCCAAGCUCCGCCCGCAGUCUGAGGCCUGGCCAGCCAGCUAGCUCGGCCAAAAUCCGGCGGGAGGAAAGCACACCGAGCAGGGAAGAUGAGUAGCUACCAGAAUUGGCACCGUCAGCCACCUGGCCAACUAUGCCAUGGCCCUAAUCCACCGCUGGUCAGUCGACCAAUCAACAAGACCAUCAAGCAGAGGGGUUGUCACCCUAGAACUAGGGCUCUCCUUCGCCGGCAGGAGCAGCACGGGCCCCGUCGCCACAAUCCCCAGCUGCAUCAUGAGCUUGCCCGGCGCCACCCUCCUGUGACGGCUAGGAGGGAGGAAUGGUUACGUCGGCGGGAGGGGCGGCGCACAGGAGGGGGGUUGUGUCCACCUUUGGUAUUAAGUUAUUUGUUGGUUCUGCUGAAACUUAUCUUGUUCCUUAGUUGAAUUAGACAUCAAAUAUACAAGCUUUGUUUUUUGUCAGCAAACAGGUGAACUAAUAAAGGAAGAGUUCUUCCAUGAAUAGUAGUACAUUUACUAUGCAGAUGAUCUGGACAAGUAAUCAAACAAGUCAGCACUAUCUCACUAGGCAGGUUAUUAUUUAAGAUAUUUUCCACUUCUGAAUCUUUGCUCAAAUCGCUCGAUCAUUCGGUCUAUUUGUUGAUACCGUACAAUGAUUAUCAAUUUUCGUUGUAGUCCAAUCUUUGUUGAUUCAGGAAGAUGGCCCUGCUCAACGAGCUCAAGCAGCGUCCACGAGCAAGGCCAUCCACAACGGAAAUGUUGUGACUAAAGAUAAUUAUACGCAUAUUCAGUUAUAUAUAUGUAUAAAGUUUCUGUAUUUUCUUUUAGUCAUUACGCAGAACACUCAAUAUUCAAUAUUAGAUGACACAUUGGCCACA
Triticum urartu is the source of this 3257-nucleotide non-coding RNA. The record is from RefSeq and is a predicted model, not a curated record. Lineage: Eukaryota; Viridiplantae; Streptophyta; Magnoliopsida; Poales; Poaceae.